This 300-nucleotide ribosomal RNA is filed under the name uncultured Chthonomonas sp. Its description in RNAcentral is "bacterial SSU rRNA". It matches the Rfam family "Bacterial small subunit ribosomal RNA", at positions 496 to 795 of the family's 1533-position model. Lineage: Bacteria; Bacillati; Armatimonadota; Chthonomonadia; Chthonomonadales; Chthonomonadaceae. The record is from RNAcentral.
GCUAACGUGGUGGCGAGAGAUGGGUUAAUGCGGAGGGGGUGAGGGUUGCUCGGUGGUAGUGGGCGUAAAGCGCACGUGGGCGGGUUGUUAAGUCGGGGGUGAAAGUCGGGAGCUCAACUCGAGAACUGCCUUCGAUACGGGCGAUCUCGAGUUCGGGAGAGGUGAGUGGAACUGGGAGUGUAGAGGUGAAAUUCGUAGAUAUUCGCAAGAACACCAGUGGCGAAGGCGGCUCACUGGCCCGAUACUGACGCUGAGGUGCGAAAGCGUGGGGAGCAAACAGGAUUAGAUACCCCAGUAGUC